RNAcentral lists this ribosomal RNA (376 nucleotides) under uncultured bacterium. Its description in RNAcentral is "bacterial SSU rRNA". It matches the Rfam family "Bacterial small subunit ribosomal RNA", at positions 521 to 895 of the family's 1533-position model. The record is from RNAcentral.
UAAUACGUAGGGGGCAAGCGUUGUCCGGAUUUACUGGGCGUAAAGCGCGUGUAGGCGGAAGCUUAAGCGCGGCCUGAAAGCCCCCGGCUCAACCGGGGAGGGCGGUCGCGAACUGGGCUUCUUGAGAGCGACAGAGGAGCGUGGAAUUCCUGGUGUAGCGGUGAAAUGCGUAGAGAUCAGGAGGAACACCCGUGGCGAAGGCGGCGCUCUGGGUCGGCUCUGACGCUGAGACGCGAAAGCGUGGGGAGCGAACGGGAUUAGAUACCCCGGUAGUCCACGCCGUAAACGGUGGUCACCAGGUGUGUGCGGUGUCGACCCCGCACGUGCCGCAGCUAACGCAUGAAGUGACCCGCCUGGGGAGUACGGCCGCAAGGUU